This 446-nucleotide ribosomal RNA is filed under the name uncultured bacterium. RNAcentral's name for it is "bacterial SSU rRNA". It matches the Rfam family "Bacterial small subunit ribosomal RNA", at positions 329 to 792 of the family's 1533-position model. The record is from RNAcentral.
GACCAGACUCCUACGGGAGGCAGCAGUGGGGAAUAUUGCACAAUGGGGGAAACCCUGAUGCAGCGACGCCGCGUGGAGGAAGAAGGUCUUCGGAUUGUAAACUCCUGUCCUUGGGGACGAUAAUGACGGUACCCAAGGAGGAAGCACCGGCUAACUACGUGCCAGCAGCCGCGGUAUAACGUAGGGUGCAAGCGUUGUCCGGAAUUACUGGGUGUAAAGGGAGCGCAGGCGGAUUGACAAGUCAGAUGUGAAAUCCUGCGGCUUAACCGCAGAACUGCAUUUGAAACUGUUGAUCUUGAGUACUGGAGAGGCAGACGGAAUUCCUAGUGUAGCGGUGAAAUGCGUAGAUAUUAGGAGGAACACCAGUGGCGAAGGCGGUCUGCUGGACAGCAACUGACGGUGAGGCGCGAAAGCGUGGGGAGCAAACAGGAUUAGAUACCCCCGUA